GCAUUGGUGGUUCAGUGGUAGAAUUCUCACUUUCCAUGCAGGAGACCCAGGUUUGAUCCUGGCCAAUGCA
This 70-nucleotide transfer RNA is filed under the name Loxodonta africana (African savanna elephant). It matches the Rfam family "tRNA". From Rfam's summary of the family: Transfer RNA (tRNA) molecules are approximately 80 nucleotides in length. Their secondary structure includes four short double-helical elements and three loops (D, anti-codon, and T loops). The record is from Rfam by way of RNAcentral. Lineage: Eukaryota; Metazoa; Chordata; Mammalia; Proboscidea; Elephantidae.